UAGUGUCUAUUUUGUUUGCUGAAUAUUUUUUUGUUUUGGGAUUUUGUUUAUUUUUGUUGGUUGAUCUAUCAGUUGGAGAGGAAGGAGUGGGUUCAUUUAUUCGUAACGACCUACAGUCCAUGUAGCAUUGCUGGUAGGGCCUACACUUCCGAUGAGACAACUUUGUCGUAUUGUAAUAUUGCCACUCAUGAAUGAAAGUUUG
RNAcentral lists this long non-coding RNA (202 nucleotides) under Linum usitatissimum (flax). RNAcentral describes it as "long non-coding RNA (LUSI_LNC002741)". Lineage: Eukaryota; Viridiplantae; Streptophyta; Magnoliopsida; Malpighiales; Linaceae. The record is from RNAcentral.